RNAcentral lists this transfer RNA (61 nucleotides) under Bostrichoidea sp. 1 KM-2017. Its description in RNAcentral is "tRNA-Leu". Lineage: Eukaryota; Metazoa; Arthropoda; Insecta; Coleoptera. The record is from RNAcentral.
GUUAUAUUGGCAGAUUAGUGCGAUAGAUUUAGAAUUUAUUUAUGUAUUUUUACAUAUAACA